RNAcentral lists this ribosomal RNA (490 nucleotides) under uncultured bacterium. RNAcentral's name for it is "partial 16S ribosomal RNA". It matches the Rfam family "Bacterial small subunit ribosomal RNA", at positions 28 to 507 of the family's 1533-position model. The record is from RNAcentral.
GAUGAGCGCUAGCGAUAGGCUUAACACAUGCAAGUCGAGGGGCAGCAUGGUCUUAGCUUGCUAAGGCUGAUGGCGACCGGCGCACGGGUGCGUAACGCGUAUGCAACUUGCCUCACAGAGGGGGAUAACCCGUCGAAAGACGGACUAAUACCGCGUACACUCUAUGUUGGGCAUCCAAUGUAGAGGAAAUGAAAUUCGCUGUGAGAUAGGCAUGCGUCCCAUUAGCUAGUUGGUGAGGUAACGGCUCACCAAGGCGACGAUGGGUAGGGGAACUGAGAGGUUGAACCCCCACACUGGUACUGAGACACGGACCAGACUCCUACGGGAGGCAGCAGUGAGGAAUAUUGGUCAAUGGGCGAGAGCCUGAACCAGCCAAGUCGCGUGAAGGAUGACUGUCUUAUGGAUUGUAAACUUCUUUUAUACGGGAAUAACAAGAGUCACGUGUGGCUCCCUGCAUGUACCGUAUGAAUAAGCAUCGGCUAACUCCGUG